GGUCUGAGAGGAUGAUCCGCCACACUGGGACUGAGACACGGCCCAGACUCCUACGGGAGGCAGCAGUGGGGAAUUUUGGACAAUGGGCUCAAGCCUGAUCCAGCCAUGCCGCGUGUCUGAAGAAGGCCUUCGGGUUGUAAAGGACUUUUGUCCGGGAGCAAAUCCCAGUGGUUAAUACCUACUGGGGCUGAGAGUACCGGAAGAAUAAGCACCGGCUAACUACGUGCCAGCAGCCGCGGUAAUACGUAGGGUGCAAGCGUUAAUCGGAAUUACUGGGCGUAAAGCGUGCGCAGGCGGUUGUGCAAGUCUGAUGUGAAAGCCCCGGGCUUAACCUGGGAACGGCAUUGGAGACUG
This 354-nucleotide ribosomal RNA is filed under the name bacterium LimA-10-J-96. RNAcentral's name for it is "bacterial SSU rRNA". It matches the Rfam family "Bacterial small subunit ribosomal RNA", at positions 289 to 635 of the family's 1533-position model. The record is from RNAcentral.